CCUACGGGAGGCAGCAGUAGGGAAUCUUCCACAAUGGGCGAAAGCCUGAUGGAGCAACGCCGCGUGGGUGAAGAAGGUCUUCGGAUCGUAAAACCCUGUUGUUAGAGAAGAAAGUGCGUGAGAGUAACUGUUCACGUUUCGACGGUAUCUAACCAGAAAGCCACGGCUAACUACGUGCCAGCAGCCGCGGUAAUACGUAGGUGGCAAGCGUUAUCCGGAUUUAUUGGGCGUAAAGGUAACGCGGGCGGUCUUGUAAGUCUGAUGUUAAAGCCUUCGGCUUAACCGGAGUAGUGCAUUGGAAACUGGGAGACUUGAGUGCAGAAGAGGAGAGUGGAACUCCAUGUGUAGCGGUGAAAUGCGUAGAUAUAUGGAAGAACACCAGUGGCGAAAGCGGCUCUCUGGUCUGUAACUGACGCUGAGGUUCGAAAGCGUGGGUAGCAAACAGGAUUAGAUACCCUAGUAGUC
RNAcentral lists this ribosomal RNA (465 nucleotides) under uncultured bacterium. RNAcentral describes it as "partial 16S ribosomal RNA". It matches the Rfam family "Bacterial small subunit ribosomal RNA", at positions 338 to 795 of the family's 1533-position model. The record is from RNAcentral.